AGAUAACCAUGCAUGUCUAAGUAUAAGCAAUUAUACCGCGAAACUGCGAAUGGCUCAUUAAAUCAGUUAUCGUUUAUUUGAUAGUACCUUACUACUUGGAUAACCGUGGUAAUUCUAGAGCUAAUACAUGCUAAAAAUCCCGACUUCGGAAGGGAUGUAUUUAUUAGAUUAAAAACCAAUGCCCUUCGGGGCUCACUGGUGAUUCAUAAUAACUUUUCGAAUCGCAUGGCCUUGCGCCGGCGAUGGUUCAUUCAAAUUUCUGCCCUAUCAACUUUCGACGGCUGGGUCUUGGCCAGCCAUGGUGACAACGGGUAACGGAGGGUUAGGGCUCGACCCCGGAGAAGGAGCCUGAGAGACGGCUACUACAUCCAAGGAAGGCAGCAGGCGCGCAAAUUACCCAAUCCCGACACGGGGAGGUAGUGACAAUAAAUACUGAUACAGGGCUCUUUAGGGUCUUGUAAUUGGAAUGAGUACAAUUUAAAUCCCUUAACGAGGAACAAUUGGAGGGCAAGUCUGGUGCCAGCAGCCGCGGUAAUUCCAGCUCCAAUAGCGUAUAUUAAAGUUGUUGCAGUUAAAAAGCUCGUAGUUGAACCUUGGGCCUGGCUGGCCGGUCCGCCUCACCGCGUGCACUGGUCCGGCCGGGUCUUUCCCUCUGGGGAACCGCAUGCCCUUCACUGGGUGUGCUGGGGAACCAGGACUUUUACUUUGAAAAAAUUAGAGUGUUCAAAGCAGGCCUAUGCUCGAAUACAUUAGCAUGGAAUAAUAGAAUAGGACGUGUGGUUCUAUUUUGUUGGUUUCUAGGACCGCCGUAAUGAUUAAUAGGGACAGUCGGGGGCAUCAGUAUUCAAUUGUCAGAGGUGAAAUUCUUGGAUUUAUUGAAGACUAACUACUGCGAAAGCAUUUGCCAAGGAUGUUUUCAUUAAUCAGGAACGAAAGUUAGGGGAUCGAAGACGAUCAGAUACCGUCGUAGUCUUAACCAUAAACUAUGCCGACUAGGGAUCGGACGAAGUUAUUUUUUGACUCGUUCGGCACCUUACACGAAAGUAUAAGUUUCUGGGUUCUGGGGGGAGUAUGGUCGCAAGGCUGAACUUAG
Molecule: ribosomal RNA, 1093 nt
Filed under: Thyridium sp.
Lineage: Eukaryota; Fungi; Ascomycota; Sordariomycetes; Thyridiales; Thyridiaceae
Description: SSU rRNA
Rfam family: Eukaryotic small subunit ribosomal RNA
Source: RNAcentral